GAAAUGCGAUACGUAGUGUGAAUUGCAGAAUUCAGUGAACCAUCGAAUCUUUGAACGCACCUUGCAGCCACCGGCAAUCCGGUGGCUAUGCCCGUCCGAGCGUCGUUUCGACACUCGGGAAACUCCCAUCUCUGUUAGGAGGGGGGGCUUCCCGGCGUUGGGCCAGCGCGCAGCCAGCGUGCCCCUCGCUACGAGGGGUCGCGCAGGCCGCGCGGCCUGUAGAACAACGGCGGCAGCGCCUGCGACGUCCCCUGCGUAGUAGCUCUACUCGCAUCGGGCUCCUCGCGCCGCCCGCCCUGCCGAGGCCGCUAGCCGGCCCCUGGCAACACCAUCUUAAACAACGUCGACCUCGGAUCGGGUAGGGAUACCCGCUAAACUUAA
RNAcentral lists this unclassified non-coding RNA (381 nucleotides) under uncultured Ascomycota. Its description in RNAcentral is "sequence contains ITS1". The stretch from base 1 to 105 matches the Rfam family "5.8S ribosomal RNA", at positions 50 to 154 of the family's 154-position model. Lineage: Eukaryota; Fungi; Ascomycota. The record is from RNAcentral.